This 74-nucleotide transfer RNA is filed under the name Aspergillus nidulans. RNAcentral describes it as "tRNA-Asn". It matches the Rfam family "tRNA". From Rfam's summary of the family: Transfer RNA (tRNA) molecules are approximately 80 nucleotides in length. Their secondary structure includes four short double-helical elements and three loops (D, anti-codon, and T loops). The record is from RNAcentral. RNAcentral also lists the same sequence under 1 other name. Lineage: Eukaryota; Fungi; Ascomycota; Eurotiomycetes; Eurotiales; Aspergillaceae.
GUCUCCGUGGCGCAACUGGUUAGCGCGUCUGACUGUUAAUCAGGAGGUUGACAGUUCGAGCCUGUCCGGGGACG